UUUUGUAUAAUGGGUCAGCGACUUAUAUUCAGUGGCAAGGUUAACCAUCUAGGGGAGCCGUAGGGAAACCGAGUCUUAACUGGGCGUUCAGUCUCUGGAUAUAGACCCGAAACCAGGUGAUCUAGCCAUGGGCAGGUUGAAGGUUGAGUAACAUCAACUGGAGGACCGAACCGACUAAUGUUGAAAAAUUAGCGGAUGACUUGUGGCUAGGGGUGAAAGGCCAAUCAAACCUGGAGAUAGCUGGUUCUCCCCGAAAGCUAUUUAGGUAGCGCCUCGGACGAAUACUACUGGGGGUAGAGCACUGUUAAGGCUAGGGGGUCAUCCCGACUUACCAACCCUUUGCAAACUCCGAAUACCAGUAAGUACUAUCCGGGAGACACACGGCGGGUGCUAACGUCCGUCGUGGAGAGGGAAACAACCCAGACCGCCAGCUAAGGUCCCAAAUUACUACUAAGUGGGAAACGAUGUGGGAAGGCUCAGACAGCCAGGAUGUUGGCUUAGAAGCAGCCAUCAUUUAAAGAAAGCGUAAUAGCUCACUGGUCGAGUCGGCCUGCGCGGAAGAUGUAACGGGGCUAAGUAGUAAACCGAAGCUGCGGCAAUAUACUUUUGUAUAUUGGGUAGGGGAGCGUUCUGUAAGCGGUUGAAGGUGUGUGGUAACGCAUGCUGGACGUAUCAGAAGUGCGAAUGCUGACAUGAGUAACGAUAAAGGGGGUGAAAAACCUCCUCGCCGGAAGACCAAGGGUUCCUGUCCAACGUUAAUCGGGGCAGGGUAAGUCGACCCCUAAGGCGAGGCCGAAAGGCGUAGUCGAUGGGAAACGGGUUAAUAUUCCCGUACUUCUUACAAUUGCGAUGGGGGGACGGAGAAGGCUAGGUGGGCCUGGCGACGGUUGUCCAGGUUCAAGUGCGUAGGCUUAAGAGUUAGGUAAAUCCGGCUCUUUUUAAGGCUGAGACACGACGUCGAGCACCUACGGGUGUGAAGUCAUUGAUGCCAUGCUUCCAGGAAAAGCCUCUAAGCUUCAGAUUGUAAGGAAUCGUACCCCAAACCGACACAGGUGGUCGGGUAGAGAAUACCAAGGCGCUUGAGAGAACUCGGGUGAAGGAACUAGGCAAAAUGGUACCGUAACUUCGGGAGAAGGUACGCUCUCGACGGUGAAGUCCCUUGCGGAUGGAGCUAUUGAGAGUCGCAGAUACCAGGUGGCUGCAACUGUUUAUUAAAAACACAGCACUGUGCAAAAUCGUAAGAUGACGUAUACGGUGUGACGCCUGCCCGGUGCCGGAAGGUUAAUUGAUGGGGUUAGACUUCGGUCGAAGCUCUUGAUCGAAGCCCCGGUAAACGGCGGCCGUAACUAUAACGGUCCUAAGGUAGCGAAAUUCCUUGUCGGGUAAGUUCCGACCUGCACGAAUGGCGUAAUGAUGGCCACGCUGUCUCCACCCGAGACUCAGUGAAAUUGAAAUCGCUGUGAAGAUGCAGUGUACCCGCGGCUAGACGGAAAGACCCCGUGAACCUUUACUACAGCUUGGCACUGAACAUUGACCCUACAUGUGUAGGAUAGGUGGGAGGCUUUGAAGCACGUACGCCAGUAUGUGUGGAGCCGUCCUUGAAAUACCACCCUUGUAGUGUUGAUGUUCUAACGUCGACCCCUAAUCGGGGUUGCGGACAGUGCCUGGUGGGUAGUUUGACUGGGGCGGUCUCCUCCCAAAGAGUAACGGAGGAGCACGAAGGUGGGCUAAUCACGGUUGGACAUCGUGAGGUUAGUGCAAUGGCAUAAGCCCGCUUGACUGCGAGAAUGACAAUUCGAGCAGGUGCGAAAGCAGGUCAUAGUGAUCCGGUGGUUCUGAAUGGAAGGGCCAUCGCUCAACGGAUAAAAGGUACUCCGGGGAUAACAGGCUGAUACCGCCCAAGAGUUCAUAUCGACGGCGGUGUUUGGCACCUCGAUGUCGGCUCAUCACAUCCUGGGGCUGAAGUCGGUCCCAAGGGUAUGGCUGUUCGCCAUUUAAAGUGGUACGCGAGCUGGGUUUAGAACGUCGUGAGACAGUUCGGUCCCUAUCUGCCGUGGGCGUUGGAAGAUUGAAGGGGGCUGCUCCUAGUACGAGAGGACCGGAGUGGACGAACCUCUGGUGUUCGGGUUGUGUCGCCAGACGCAUUGCCCGGUAGCUAAGUUCGGAAUCGAUAACCGCUGAAAGCAUCUAAGCGGGAAGCGAGCCCUGAGAUGAGUCUUCCCUGAUACUUUAAGUAUCCUAAAGGGUUGUCGGAGACUACGACGUUGAUAGGUCAGGUGUGUAAGUGCUGUGAGGCAUUGAGCUAACUGAUACUAAUUGCCCGUGAGGCUUAACCAU
Molecule: ribosomal RNA, 2337 nt
Filed under: Vibrio parahaemolyticus
Lineage: Bacteria; Pseudomonadati; Pseudomonadota; Gammaproteobacteria; Vibrionales; Vibrionaceae
Description: partial 23S ribosomal RNA
Rfam family: Bacterial large subunit ribosomal RNA
Source: RNAcentral